UUUCGAUGUUGUGUAGCCCUUAUGCAUUUUGAUUGACAUAUUUGAUGACUGCAUGGGUAUAUAAGCUCCGGCUUUGCUUCAAGUAGCUUUUAUCUACAAAUAUGAGUGUCUUUCACGACACAAUUGUACAAAAGUUUAGUUCGUUUUACUUGUAACACGUUAUUAGCAUGAAUUGAAACAAAAAAAAUGAGUGAAAAUAUCAAAGUUGUAGUUCGAUGUCGUCCCAUGAAUCGAAGUGAAAUUGAAAGUAAAUGUGAAAACAUUGUUGAAUUUAAUAAAUAUGCCGUUUCAGUAAGAAACACUUCUACUCUUUUUUCUCCGAAAAAGAUGUUUAUAUUUGAUAGUGCUUAUGAUAUGAUCACAAAAACUGAAGUGAUUUAUAACGAAAUGUGCUACUCACUUGUAGAAAGUACUCUCGAAGGAUACAAUGGAACUAUUUUUGCUUACGGCCAGACAGGUUGUGGAAAAACACAUACAAUGCAGAUUGGUACUUACUCAGUUAGCUCCUUGAUCUGCACUGCAAACUUUCGUCUUCUUGGAGUAAGAUAAUCACCGCAACCACUUUAUUCGCAACAUUUACACUUAACAC
Molecule: long non-coding RNA, 589 nt
Organism: Drosophila ficusphila
Lineage: Eukaryota; Metazoa; Arthropoda; Insecta; Diptera; Drosophilidae
Exons: 3
Source: RefSeq, a predicted model, not a curated record